RNAcentral lists this ribosomal RNA (421 nucleotides) under uncultured bacterium. Its description in RNAcentral is "bacterial SSU rRNA". It matches the Rfam family "Bacterial small subunit ribosomal RNA", at positions 103 to 518 of the family's 1533-position model. The record is from RNAcentral.
CGGGUGAGUAACGCGUGAGUAACCUGCCUCUAUACCGGGGAUAGCUUCGCGAAAGUGGGAUAAUAACCGAUGUGUCCACUUCUGCUUAUGCAGAAAUGGGUAAAGGCCUCCGCAAGGAGGUUGUAUAGAGAUGGGCUCGCGUCCUAUCGAGCUAGUUGGUAGGGUAAUGGCCUACCAAGGCAUUUGACGGGUAGCUGGCCUUAGAGGGUGGUCAGCCACACGGGGACUGAGACACUGCCCCGACUCCUACGGGAGGCUGCAGUCGAGAAUCUUUAGCAAUGGACGAAAGUCUGACUAUUGCGACGCCGCGUGAGGGAUGAAGGUUUUCGGAUCGUAAACCUCUUUCGAUUGGGAAGAAGUCCCGUAAGGGAUUGACGGUACCAAGAGAAGAAGCCACGGCCAACUCCGUGCCAGCCGCAGC